Unclassified non-coding RNA from Pongo abelii (Sumatran orangutan), 148 nucleotides. It matches the Rfam family "Metazoan signal recognition particle RNA". Rfam says of the family: The signal recognition particle (SRP) is a universally conserved ribonucleoprotein. NCBI's taxonomy places the organism in Eukaryota, Metazoa, Chordata, Mammalia, Primates, Hominidae. The record is from Ensembl.
GCUGGGUGUGGUGAUGCACACCUGUAAUCCCAGCUACCCGGGAGGUUGAGGCAGGAGAAUCGCUUGAACCCAGGAGGUGGAGGCUGCAGUGAGCCAAUAUUCCACCACUGUCCUCCAGCCUGGGUGCCAGAGUGAGACUCUGUCUCAA